GCUUAGUUUAAUGUGCUGUGAUUUGUUAUACGAUCAUCUGCCGCCUCAAUUUUUCGAACAUUAUCAUCCACAGUGCGAGCUUACCUGCGUAUUUGUUUUGCAUAGGUAUUGUGUUUCUUUAUAAAGAAAACCAAUUAAAACAUGACUGGUGGUGCAUGCAUGCUACACUCAAGGAAGAUGAACCAAAUAUAAACAUUCAUUGCACCUCCAGCAGGUUCGCUAAAACUGGUUCCCUAAAACCAGUCUUAGACGUAAGAGAGAAAGAAUUGCUGAAAAUUUGCCACUCCUCCACAGGUUCCCUAAACCCAUUCCCUAUUUAUUUUUUUGCAUCACAAUGGCAUGUGGGGUCCAUCCGUCAGUGACAUAACCGGUCUCUUCUUCUUCCUGUGUCUCCUUCUUCCCCCAACUCCCAUCCUUUGCCAGAGCUCCAGCCGCGCUCCACCGACUCGCCGCCCGCAAGCACGCCGCCGCUACGGCCAGGCCCUGCCGAUCUCUGCGCCGCCGACCGCGCCGCCUCUCGACGGCCCGCACACGCCGGGGCACCGAACCGCCGCCGCCGCCUCUCUGCACGGCCGCACGCGCCGCCAUCGCUCCGCCGUUGCCCGCCGCUCGCUCGCCAUCGUCGCUGCUCUGCAGGCUUGGGCCGCCGUUGCUUCGCCCGCGCCGCCGCUCCACAUGCGCCACCUGCCGCUACCCACGAUUUGGACCGGGAAAUCGCUCGAGGAGCUCCACGGGAGGUGCGGGAUUCCUUCAGAGGGCUCCGGGAGGCGUAGGAGCCUGUGGCUGAGCUCCUCGACGCGGGGGCGGCGCAAAUCAGACGGCAGCGUGGGCCAAUUUUGGAGCGUCGACCGGCGGCGUGGGGGACGGCAGCGCGGGCCAAUUUCGGCAUCUCCUGCCCCAAUUCUAGCUGGGCAUGGGUCGGGGCAAAUUGCGGAAGGGCGGUGUGGUCCUGGGCGAGCCGCAGUUGGCCGGAGAUGGCCGGCAUCGGCGACGAUGGGGUGGGAGCGUGUUCUGGCCAAACGUAACAGAGAUGAAACCGGCAGUUAUUUUGCCGCCGGAGCUUUUCACGUUUUAUGAAAUGAGGAGUCUCGUGGAAGAGGCCAGAGAAUUUAGGAAAGUUCACUAAAAAUUUAGAUAUUGUGAAUCACAUUUCCAACUACGUACCCAUAUUUAAGGAGAAUAUCCAAAAACUGUCAAUAUGGAUAUUUUGUCCAAAAAUCUAGCUCCAGCAGCAUAUCAAACAAAAUUGGAUACUCAUUUUUUUUUGAUAGCUACACAUAUUCUAUCCCUCGAUACCCAAAUUUGGGUAUUCCCAGCUAGACUACCCAAACGACCCAAAACGAAGCGCGCGCACCCAACUGCCACGAGCGGGAACUUUCCGCGCGUCCUGCCUCCCCCGCCGCCCGCGAAAUCGAGCCGCCGCCGGCAAGAUGGAGCAGACCGGCGACCUCCUCGCGCCGCCCGACAGCUCCUCCGUCCUCAUUGGUGCCCCUGCCGGCGUGCCCGUCACCCCCCUGCCCCCAGCCGAGCCCGCAACAGGCGCCGCCCCCAAGCCAAAGGCCCAUCGGCGGCUAGGGCUGGCGCUGCCGCUGGCCGGCGUUCCGUGGCCCCCCUCCGCCACUCCGACGAUGGUCGGGCAUGGCUCCGCCGCCCCUCCCCUGCCGGCUGCGACCACAACAUCGAGGAAGCGGGUUCCCUGUGACCCGUCCGCGCCGGCGUCCAAGCGGCCGGCGAAGAAGGCACCGCCAGCCCCUCCUACGGCCUCCCUGCCUCCUCCUCCUCCUCCUCCUGCAGCCUCUGGCCCCGCUGCACCCGCUCCUCCUCUCCCUCCGGUGGCACCUGCACCUGCCGUGACCGAGGUGUUCGAUGGAAUGCCUGAAAGAAAAUGAACUGAAGUGUGUGCCUUGUGAGAGCCACCCUAAACCAUUAGGAUGAGGAGGCAGGGAGGGGGAGUUGUUGUGUAGAGCAUGGCAAACCAUCACUCUAGAUGCAAUCACCGGUGUUGAGCAACAAAGCAACACCUAUUGGGAACGUAUCCAUGAUCACUACAAGGACAACAACAAGGAGGGCUUGUACCGAUCACGAGUAUCACUCUCACAUAGAUGGCAAACUAUACAAGCGGAUUGCCAAAAGUGGGCAGCAUGUUUGGCACAAGGAACCUGGUGGAGCUGGGGUUUUUUUGUGCAACUUCUAGGUAACGGUGGUAGUCUGAUAGUUAUUUUAGGGAACUUGCUAGAGAUGCUCGACAUAUACCGAUCUUUUCCAAUCUGAACUUCCGUGAUUCAGUUUACCGAAUCACGGAAAUUCAGUUUCGUCCAGCUCGCCGCAGAACAGAAUAUCGAAAAUGCAACCCGAACUUUCGAAUUCAAACAUGGUGCGAAUUAUUUAAACAACAUAACUUGGACGAACACAUCACAUUUCAUACGACAUCAUGUUUUCCAUACGAAAAUACAAAAUCCUAAACAAAAGAUCAGGAGUAAACAACAAAACACGUCGGCACCAUCUUCAUGCCGCGCCGGAAUCUACCUCCGCCAUCUCCGCCUACUCGUCGUCGUCGAAGAUUACGACCACUGGAGUCUUGGAGAGCUUGAUGGCCAACUCGAGGUCGGCCUGCUCCUUUGCA
RNA transcript from Brachypodium distachyon (stiff brome), 2623 nucleotides. It is a transcript of the gene named nascent polypeptide-associated complex subunit alpha, muscle-specific form-like, with no coding region annotated. NCBI's taxonomy places the organism in Eukaryota, Viridiplantae, Streptophyta, Magnoliopsida, Poales, Poaceae. The transcript is spliced from 2 exons. The record is from RefSeq and is a predicted model, not a curated record.